Molecule: ribosomal RNA, 440 nt
Filed under: uncultured bacterium
Lineage: Bacteria
Description: partial 16S ribosomal RNA
Rfam family: Bacterial small subunit ribosomal RNA
Source: RNAcentral
CCUACGGGAGGCAGCAGUGGGGAAUAGUGCACAAUGGGGGAAACCCUGAUGCAGCGACGCCGCGUGAGUGAAGAAGUAAUUCGUUAUGUAAAGCUCUAUCAGCAGGGAAGAAAAUGACGGUACCUGAGGAAGAAGCCCCGGCUAACUACGGGCCAGCAGCCGCGGGAAUACGUAGGGGGCAAGCGUUAUCCGGAUGUACUGGGUGUAAAGGGAGCGUGGACGGCAGGGCAAGUCUGGAGUGAAAGGAGGGGGCUCACCCCCCGGACGGCUCUUGAAACUGUACGGCUGGAGUGCAGGAUAGGUCCGUGUCAUUCCUCGUGUCGCGGUGCAAUGCGUAGAUAUUAGGAGUCACCCCAGUGGCGAAGGCGGCUUACUGGACUGUACCUGCCGUUGAGUCUCUAAAGCGUGGGGAGCACACAGGAUUCGAUACCCUAGUCGUC